CCUACGGGAGGCAUCAGUGAGGAAUAUUGGUCAAUGGACGAGAGUCUGAACCAGCCAAGUAGCGUGAAGGAUGACUGCCCUAUGGGUUGUAAACUUCUUUUAUAUGGGAAUAAAAUGUUCCACGUGUGGGCUUUUGUAUGUACCAUAUGAAUAAGGAUCGGCUAACUCCGUGCCAGCAGCCGCGGUAAUACGGAGGAUCCGAGCGUUAUCCGGAUUUAUUGGGUUUAAAGGGAGCGUAGGUGGAUUGUUAAGUCAGUUGUGAAAGUUUGCGGCUCAACCGUAAAAUUGCAGUUGAAACUGGCAGUCUUGAGUACAGUAGAGGUGGGCGGAAUUCGUGGUGUAGCGGUGAAAUGCUUAGAUAUCACGAAGAACUCCGAUGGCGAAGGCAGCUCACUGGACUGCAACUGACACUGAGGCUCGAAAGUGUGGGUAUCAAACAGGAUUAGAUACCCCUGUAGUC
This 460-nucleotide ribosomal RNA is filed under the name uncultured bacterium. RNAcentral describes it as "partial 16S ribosomal RNA". It matches the Rfam family "Bacterial small subunit ribosomal RNA", at positions 338 to 795 of the family's 1533-position model. The record is from RNAcentral.